This 390-nucleotide ribosomal RNA is filed under the name Cryptosporidium environmental sequence. RNAcentral describes it as "partial small subunit ribosomal RNA". It matches the Rfam family "Eukaryotic small subunit ribosomal RNA", at positions 628 to 1044 of the family's 1831-position model. Lineage: Eukaryota; Apicomplexa; Conoidasida; Eucoccidiorida; Cryptosporidiidae. The record is from RNAcentral.
UCGUAGUUGGAUUUCUGUUAAUAAUUUAUAUAUAAUAUUUCACAAUAUUUAUAUAAUAUUAACAUAAUUCAUAUUACUAUAAUUUUUUUAGUAUAUGAAAUUUUACUUUGAGAAAAUUAGAGUGCUUAAAGCAGGCAUUUGCCUAGAAUUCUCCAGCAUGGAAUAAUAUAAAAGAUUUUUAUCUUUUUUAUAGGUUCUAAGAUAAAAAUAAUGAUUAAUAGGGACAGUUGGGGGCAUUUGUAUUUAACAGUCAGAGGUGAAAUUCUUAGAUUUGUUAAAGACAAACUAAUGCGAAAGCAUUUGCCAAGGAUGUUUUCAUUAAUCAAGAACGAAAGUUAGGGGAUCGAAGACGAUCAGAUACCGUCGUAGUCUUAACCAUAAACUAUGCCA